Molecule: long non-coding RNA, 1932 nt
Organism: Prionailurus viverrinus (fishing cat)
Lineage: Eukaryota; Metazoa; Chordata; Mammalia; Carnivora; Felidae
Exons: 3
Source: RefSeq, a predicted model, not a curated record
UAGAAGCUGUCUGCAGGAUGCAGCCCUGACUCAGCAUCUGUUGGAAUCUGGACGAUCCAUGUGGUUGAACCCCAUUAAGGCCUCCACAGAAGGUUUACAGAUUCUGGUGGGUGUAGGUUGAGAUGGACUCUUCUUUAAGCAACCCUAGACCAGCCUGGGAAGUAAGUUCUCUUGCUUGUUCACCCCGCACCUGCCCAACUAGAGCUGCCUGCCUCUUUCUUCCGUCUCUCCUCGCCCAACCCAUCUGGGGGCUGGUUCAACUCCCACUUGGAAGCUCCUGGGUUCGACCACCAACAGCCUUUUCCACUUGAAGGAGCUUCCCCAGCAGUCCGUGUGCAGUGGUGGUGGCAGAGGUUGGUUCUGUCUUCCUCACUUCCAGUGGAGAUCAUUUUACCUCUGGCACAGGUGUGCUGGUCACACAGAGCCCGGGGGCCUUGCUGAAAUGGAUCAGAAAAAGAAGAAAGAAAGAAAGAAAGAAAGAAAGAAAGAGAGAGAGAAAAGCUUGCCUGGAAGGUGAGUAGGGGAGACUUCUUCAGAAUUCAGCAACGCUGCUUCACUCUGAGAGACGCCAACUAGACGCAAGGGUGGGCUGCAGGCAGUUCGAGUCCUAUCUGAAUCCUGCAAGAACUCAUUAAGUGCCUUGUGCCCACGUGGUACCUACUUACAGACGGCACUUGGCCCAGAUGUCCCCACGAGGCAAAACACUGGACACUCCCCAGCAACUCCUGGCGGCCACUCCAGCAUGGCGCAGAAGAUUAUGAACACAGAGAUAAAACUUCCGCUGUGGUAUUUUACAGCUUCAGCUUCUUCCCUCAGUCUGCUGGAUCUCUGGAAUUCUGCAGUAAAUCGAAAUUGUUCUUUCUCCCCUUCAUCAGGGUUAAAAGACUGUUUAAAAACUGGGCCAUAAAACUGUCUCAUGUUCUAAAAUAGGGAAAUCAUACAGGUCAUAUUUUCUAAGGACAACAUUAUUGAUAAAAAAAGAGUUGAACUAAAAACUCAACCACUCAAAAAUUUAAAAAAAAACACAUAACAAAUGCAAACCAUUCACCUAAAUAAUGCUUAGGUCAGAGGGAAUAUAAGAGGUACAAUUAGAGUAUUAUUAGACAAUAACGACAUUAAGGGCACUAGAUAUUAGAACUUACAGAAUGACUAGCAUUGUACUCAGAGAAAAUGCAUAGUCUGAAAUACUUUGCUUUUCAAUAAGGAAUGACUGUAUGCAGGAUUUAAUUCAAUAAUUGGCAAACAAAAUAGACUUAUGUAAAGCAAACCAAAAUUAUGGCAGACUUAAAAAAAUUGGUAAGAUAUUAGACAAGUUGCUAGCAACUCAAAUCAAGAAUUAGGAGAAAACAUAAUCACAGAAAGUGAAGAAUUAGAAAGAGGAUUUAGUAACUGAUAUUAAAGUGGGAUAUUCAAUUCCAUUACACAGAGACAAAUUUGAGAUUCUAAGGAAUGCACGAUUUUCUGAGACAAUAUUAUUUACAAUAAUUGACUCAAGAAGAAGUAGGGACUCUGAAUAGCCCAGUAAUCAGGAAGAAGUUUUAUUUAUUUUUUUUACAGAUUUAUUGAGAUAUUAUUGACAUACAGCAUAUAUGUUUAAGGGACACAAUAUGAUGAUAUAUAUCAAAAUUAUAUGAUAAAAAUAAGGUUAGUUAACAGCUCCAGCUUCUCACAUAUUUACAAUUUUUUUUUUACCUGUAUAAAAGAGACUCCAGGGAGCAACCUGGCCCUUUCUGACAUGUUGAGGACAUAGUGAGAAGACAACUCUCUAUGAACCAGAGUGGAUUCUCACCAGACACUGGAUCUACCUACACUUUAAUCUAGAACUUUCCAACUUCCAGAACUGUGAGAAAUAAGUUUCUACUGUUUAAGCCACCUAGUCUAUGGCAUUUUUAUUUUUAUUUAUUUCUUUUUUUAGAGAGAGAAAGAGCAUGA